Molecule: ribosomal RNA, 253 nt
Filed under: Roseburia faecis M72/1
Lineage: Bacteria; Bacillati; Bacillota; Clostridia; Lachnospirales; Lachnospiraceae
Description: partial 16S ribosomal RNA
Rfam family: Bacterial small subunit ribosomal RNA
Source: RNAcentral
UACGUAUGGUGCAAGCGUUAUCCGGAUUUACUGGGUGUAAAGGGAGCGCAGGCGGUGCGGCAAGUCUGAUGUGAAAGCCCGGGGCUCAACCCCGGUACUGCAUUGGAAACUGUCGUACUAGAGUGUCGGAGGGGUAAGUGGAAUUCCUAGUGUAGCGGUGAAAUGCGUAGAUAUUAGGAGGAACACCAGUGGCGAAGGCAGCUUACUGGACGAUAACUGACGCUGAGGCUCGAAAGCGUGGGGAGCAAACAGG